CCUACGGGCGGCAGCAGUGGGGGAUAUUGCACAAUGGAGGAAACUCUGAUGCAGCGACGCCGCGUGAGGGAAGAAGGUCUUCGGAUUGUAAACCCCUGUCGGUGGGGAAGAAAAUGACGGUACCCAAAGAGGAAGCCCCGGCUAACUCCGUGCCAGCAGCCGCGGUAAUACGUAGGGGGCGAGCGUUGUCCGGAGUUACUGGGUGUAAAGGGAGCGUAGGCGGGAGGGAAAGUCGAAUGUUAAAUCAACCGGCUAAACUGGUGGCUGCGUUUAGAAAUUCAUGUCUUGAGUGAAGUAGAGGCAGGCGGAAUUCCUAGUGUAGCGGUGAAAUGCGUAGAUAUUAGGAGGAACACCAGUGGCGAAGGCGGCCUGCUGGGCUGUGACUGACGCUGAGGCUCGAAAGCGUGGGGAGCAAACAGGAUUAGAUACCCCUGUAGUC
RNAcentral lists this ribosomal RNA (439 nucleotides) under uncultured bacterium. RNAcentral's name for it is "partial 16S ribosomal RNA". It matches the Rfam family "Bacterial small subunit ribosomal RNA", at positions 338 to 795 of the family's 1533-position model. The record is from RNAcentral.